CCUACGGGUGGCUGCAGUGGGGAAUAUUGGACAAUGGGCGAAAGCCUGAUCCAGCCAUCCCGCGUGUGUGAAGAAGGCCUUCGGGUUGUAAAGCACUUUCAGUGGGGAAGAAAGCCUUGGGGCUAAUACCCUCGAGGAAGGACAUCACCCACAGAAGAAGCACCGGCUAACUCCGUGCCAGCAGCCGCGGUAAUACGGAGGGUGCGAGCGUUAAUCGGAAUUACUGGGCGUAAAGCGCGCGUAGGCGGUCUGAUAAGCCGGUUGUGAAAGCCCCGGGCUCAACCUGGGAACGGCAUCCGGAACUGUCAGGCUAGAGUGCAGGAGAGGAAGGUAGAAUUCCCGGUGUAGCGGUGAAAUGCGUAGAGAUCGGGAGGAAUACCAGUGGCGAAGGCGGCCUUCUGGACUGACACUGACGCUGAGGUGCGAAAGCGUGGGUAGCAAACAGGAUUAGAUACCCCAGUAGUC
RNAcentral lists this ribosomal RNA (465 nucleotides) under Vreelandella stevensii. RNAcentral's name for it is "partial 16S ribosomal RNA". It matches the Rfam family "Bacterial small subunit ribosomal RNA", at positions 338 to 795 of the family's 1533-position model. Lineage: Bacteria; Pseudomonadati; Pseudomonadota; Gammaproteobacteria; Oceanospirillales; Halomonadaceae. The record is from RNAcentral.